UGGGGAGUGGGGGUACUGGAGAUGAGCCUCAGUGGUAAAGCAUCUCUGGGUCCAAUCCUUGGUACCAAAAAUAUUCACUCCUAAUGCUGAUUUAAAAGUUAAAAAGUCAGAGUGUCCCCAAACCCUUCACUGGAAAUGGCUGUACACAAUGGCAUCUGAGGGCGAGGGGCUUGAGUUCAGUGGAGCUUUACCAUGACGCCAGGCGUCAUCCUGCCCUGGUCGUCUUGGAGGAUGGAGAUGCAGGUGCCUGGGCCCCCUUGUCUUGGGCAUGUAGUGGGCAGAAGGUAGGCUGACCCACUGUUAUGGGGAUGUGUGUCUUUCUUGGUCCAGUCUGACAGCUUUGAGGUAGAAUCCAGGGUCUUAGCAUCAGCUGUCUGUAGCUCCUGUCUAAGUGAGCCCCUCGCUCUGGGACCUGAAAUGCUUCAGACCUGUGCAGUCGUUGCCAGAGUAGUUCACUGAGCUUGGAUAAUGGAGCUCGGAGUCCUGUGGAACCAUGUCUGUCGGAAUAAACGAGAACAGCUGGUCUCUUGUAUAAAUACUGUUGGCAUGAAUUUUUUUAUUUAAGUCUCUCCAUGUAUCUAGUAAACAGUAAGCAGAAUUCUACCAUCACUAAAAGCCUCCCAAGUCCCCGCUAAUAAAUUUCCUUCACCCCUCCCCAUUUAAAAGUUCAGGGUGCAGGGCAGGGUUAAUGUACCAGAGAAGGAAUGCUAGGAAAGAAUUUCUGAGCUAGAGAAAAUAAGGUUCCUCUUCUUCCUCCUUUCCCAUUUGACCUUCAGCUUCUCUCUAAGAUAACAAAUUUUUUGGACAGUUUCUUGGGAAAGCAAGAUUUGUGCAGACAUUCUUUUGCUAUUCUGUAUGUACAAAGAGAGACUUGAUCACAUUAAAAUGGAGACUCUGUCCCUCAGUGUCUCAUGGGGAGAAAAUUUGAAUUUGGAUUAAGGGAUAGGCAAGUGAUGAAAUGUCCUCUGGGUCCCCUCUAAAUGGGUGGCAGCAAAAUUCUUUCCAGCAUCUUUAUGAGGUAGGUCUUACCACGCUUCCCAGAGAGUGAGCCCCCUUCACUUUCCUGUACAGAACCAGGGGCACCCUCGAGGACAUCGAUGACCGUGUCCGUUCCCCUCUUCUGUUAUCUCUAGCAGCAGAAGGAAUGUCUGGCUUCACUUGUGUGCUGAGCCCGGGGAGCUGGGAGCCAGGCCCUCCUGGAUGCAUUUUCUAGUCCUGGCUCCUUAGUUCUUUGGCAGGCAGCAUGGGGUCCUGCAGCAGGGCGAGGAGACGAGAAGAGGGGACCGGUAUCUGUGUCUCUUGGGAAUCGAUGAGUCUUCAUGAGAUCUGCCUCGUUCCUGCUCUUUCCAACCCUGUGAGAGUCCCGCUGUCACAACAAGGGGCUCCUGGAUAUAUCGAUGGCCUUCCUUGGGGACAGUUGUUGCAGUUGUACUUUCUUGCCCCCUGACUCGUUUCCUGGCCUUGGCCUAUGAACUAUGAGCAGACGUCACAGGUGUCACACCUCAGAGGAGGCUGGAGGAGCCACCAAGUCAUGUGCUUCAUCCCUUCCCUCCGGCCGUGGUUGACAUGCAUGUGAAGAGGGAGCAGGGAUGUGGUCUGUGAGGGGCUGUCACUGAAAGGCCCCGCCCAGGCUCCUCGUGUCACAUGAGAGAGAGUGAGCUGUGGUCACCGGUGUCAUUUACCCUCUGAUUGGGGCAGCAGCAUUUGUGUCUUUGGAGGAGCAGGAGUGAUGGCCUGGGUGUUUGGGCAGUGGACACGCGUCACAGUUGUGGUGGCUGGUGGAAAUCCGCACACAGCAGUCGCAGCUGUACGAACACUACUGCUAUUUCCUAAAGGCAGGACCUGUGUUCUAGGAGGACUGGGAACUUCAGGGGACGCCUCUCUCUUGACCCCAGGUGUCUCAUGGUCAUCAGGUAUCUUCAUGGAAAGGAGGAUAACUCUACAGAGGAAAGACAAGGACGAGACGUGUACACACAAACACACACACACACACACACACACACGUGAGCUGACUCCCGGGAAUCGCAGGAGAGCCUUUAAUACCGCACUCCUGGUGGCAGCCGGGAGGCGCUCCUGGGGUGGACGGAAUGCUGAAUUUAUAUUUAGGGACUUUCCACUGCUGAAUCACAGAGCUUGUAAAAUUUAAAAAGAAGAGGAGGUUGGAGAAGGGGGGUUUCAGGGCCCAGGGAUGUGGUUGACAAUAUUCCUUUUAAUUUAAAGCCACCUGAAGGCUUCCCGUCUUUGGAGAGCCUCAGCCUGCCGUCCACUGGGCCUUGGCUCAGGGCUGCCUUUUCCUGACCCAGGGCUCCUCGGCCUGCUGGUAGGAAGUGGAGCCCAAGCCCAUGCUGGGGGAGUGUCCCCGGCUCUGCUCUCUCCCCAGGCCUGCGGCUUGCUCGUCUGGCACGGAGGACGUCCCUUCCAGGGCACUCUUGGCUGGCAGAGAGCCGGGGCCAUCAGGGAGACCACUCUGAGGUGACCUCCUGCCUUGGCUAGUGCCAGAGCUGCUCUACAGGCACUCUGCUCGGCCCCUGCCUUCUUCU
This 2540-nucleotide long non-coding RNA is filed under the name Marmota monax (woodchuck). Lineage: Eukaryota; Metazoa; Chordata; Mammalia; Rodentia; Sciuridae. The record is from RNAcentral.